This 1329-nucleotide ribosomal RNA is filed under the name Escherichia coli. RNAcentral describes it as "partial 23S ribosomal RNA". It matches the Rfam family "Bacterial large subunit ribosomal RNA", at positions 418 to 1751 of the family's 2925-position model. RNAcentral also lists the same sequence under 1 other name. The record is from RNAcentral. Lineage: Bacteria; Pseudomonadati; Pseudomonadota; Gammaproteobacteria; Enterobacterales; Enterobacteriaceae.
CGGGACACGUGGUAUCCUGUCUGAAUAUGGGGGGACCAUCCUCCAAGGCUAAAUACUCCUGACUGACCGAUAGUGAACCAGUACCGUGAGGGAAAGGCGAAAAGAACCCCGGCGAGGGGAGUGAAAAAGAACCUGAAACCGUGUACGUACAAGCAGUGGGAGCCUCUUAAUGGGGUGACUGCGUACCUUUUGUAUAAUGGGUCAGCGACUUAUAUUCUGUAGCAAGGUUAACCGAAUAGGGGAGCCGAAGGGAAACCGAGUCUUAACUGGGCGUUAAGUUGCAGGGUAUAGACCCGAAACCCGGUGAUCUAGCCAUGGGCAGGUUGAAGGUUGGGUAACACUAACUGGAGGACCGAACCGACUAAUGUUGAAAAAUUAGCGGAUGACUUGUGGCUGGGGGUGAAAGGCCAAUCAAACCGGGAGAUAGCUGGUUCUCCCCGAAAGCUAUUUAGGUAGCGCCUCGUGAAUUCAUCUCCGGGGGUAGAGCACUGUUUCGGCAAGGGGGUCAUCCCGACUUACCAACCCGAUGCAAACUGCGAAUACCGGAGAAUGUUAUCACGGGAGACACACGGCGGGUGCUAACGUCCGUCGUGAAGAGGGAAACAACCCAGACCGCCAGCUAAGGUCCCAAAGUCAUGGUUAAGUGGGAAACGAUGUGGGAAGGCCCAGACAGCCAGGAUGUUGGCUUAGAAGCAGCCAUCAUUUAAAGAAAGCGUAAUAGCUCACUGGUCGAGUCGGCCUGCGCGGAAGAUGUAACGGGGCUAAACCAUGCACCGAAGCUGCGGCAGCGACACUAUGUGUUGUUGGGUAGGGGAGCGUUCUGUAAGCCUGUGAAGGUGUACUGUGAGGUAUGCUGGAGGUAUCAGAAGUGCGAAUGCUGACAUAAGUAACGAUAAAGCGGGUGAAAAGCCCGCUCGCCGGAAGACCAAGGGUUCCUGUCCAACGUUAAUCGGGGCAGGGUGAGUCGACCCCUAAGGCGAGGCCGAAAGGCGUAGUCGAUGGGAAACAGGUUAAUAUUCCUGUACUUGGUGUUACUGCGAAGGGGGGACGGAGAAGGCUAUGUUGGCCGGGCGACGGUUGUCCCGGUUUAAGCGUGUAGGCUGGUUUUCCAGGCAAAUCCGGAAAAUCAAGGCUGAGGCGUGAUGACGAGGCACUACGGUGCUGAAGCAACAAAUGCCCUGCUUCCAGGAAAAGCCUCUAAGCAUCAGGUAACAUCAAAUCGUACCCCAAACCGACACAGGUGGUCAGGUAGAGAAUACCAAGGCGCUUGAGAGAACUCGGGUGAAGGAACUAGGCAAAAUGGUGCCGUAACUUCGGGAGAAGGCACGC